This 482-nucleotide ribosomal RNA is filed under the name uncultured bacterium. RNAcentral describes it as "bacterial SSU rRNA". It matches the Rfam family "Bacterial small subunit ribosomal RNA", at positions 30 to 506 of the family's 1533-position model. The record is from RNAcentral.
UUGAACGCUAGCGGGAUGCCUUACACAUGCAAGUCGAACGGCAGCACGGACUUCGGUCUGGUGGCGAGUGGCGAACGGGUGAGUAAUGUAUCGGAACGUGCCUAGUAGCGGGGGAUAACUACGCGAAAGCGUAGCUAAUACCGCAUACGCCCUACGGGGGAAAGCAGGGGAUCGCAAGACCUUGCACUAUUAGAGCGGCCGAUAUCGGAUUAGCUAGUUGGUGGGGUAACGGCUCACCAAGGCGACGAUCCGUAGCUGGUUUGAGAGGACGACCAGCCACACUGGGACUGAGACACGGCCCAGACUCCUACGGGAGGCAGCAGUGGGGAAUUUUGGACAAUGGGGGAAACCCUGAUCCAGCCAUCCCGCGUGUGCGAUGAAGGCCUUCGGGUUGUAAAGCACUUUUGGCAGGAAAGAAACGUCAUGGGCUAAUACCCCGUGAAACUGACGGUACCUGCAGAAUAAGCACCGGCUAACUACGU